GAGCACUAGAUGGACCAGUAAGCAGCGUCUGGAGAAAUUGUGGUUGUAACAGAGGAGCAGCGUGCCCCUGGAGCACUAGAGCACUAAACAGCAUGUGGUGACACUGUGGUCAUCACGGAGGAGCAGUAGAUGGAGCAAGUAAGCAGCAUCUGGUGAAACUGUGGUUGUUACAAAGGAGCAGCGUGCCCCGGAGCAGUAGAUGGGGCAAUACCAUCUGGUGAAAUUGUGGUUGUCACAGAGGAGCAGCAGGCGCCCGGAGCAGUAGAUAGAGCACUAACUAGCAUCUGGUGAUAUUUUGGUUGUCACAGAGGAGCAGUGUGUCCCUGAAGAUAUAAAUGGAGCAGUAAGCAGCAUCUGGCGAAAUUUUUGUUGUCACAGAGGAGCAGCAUGCCCCCGAGCACUAUAAGGAGUAAUAGCAUAUGGUGAUAUUGUGGUUUAAAAGAAGAGCAGCGUGACCCCGGAGCAGUGUAUGGAGCGGGAGCAUCUGGUGAAAUUGUGGCUCUCACUUAGGGUCACCGUGUCCUUGGAGAAGUACAUGGAGCAGUGGCAUCUGGUGAAAUUUUGGUUGUCACAGAGGAGCAGCGUGCUGAUCGAGGGGUAAGCAGCAUCUAGUGAAACUGUGGUUGUCACAGAGGAGCAGCAUGUCCCCGGAGCAGUAUAAGGAGCAGUAGCAUCUGCUGAUAUUGUGGUUUAUCUGGAAAUAUUGUGGCUCACAAAGAGGAGCAGUGUGCCCACGGAGCAGUGUAUAGAGCAGUAGCAUCUGGUGAAAUUUUGGCUGUCACAGAGGGUUGUCGUUGUCACAGAACAGCAGCAUGCUGAUGGAGCUGUAAGCAGCAUUUGGUGAAAUUGUGAUUGUCACAGAGGAGCUGCAUGCACCUGGAGCAGUAUAAGGAGCAGGAGCAUCUGGUGAUAUUGUCGUUGUCACAGAGGAGCAGUAUGUUCCUGGAGAUAUAAAUGGAGCAGUAAGCAGCAUCUGGUGAAAUUGUGGUUGUCACAGAGGAGCAGUGUGUUCCCGGAGAUAUAGAUGGAGCACUAAGCAGCAUCUGGUGAAGUUUUUGUUUUCACAGAGGAGCAGCGUGUUCCUGGAGAUAUAAAUGGAGCAGUAAGCAGCAUCUGGUGAAACUGUGGUUGUCACAGAGGAGCAGCGUGUUCCCGGAGAUAUAGAUGGAGCAGUAAGCCGCAUGUCGUGGAAUUUUUGUUUUCACAGAGGAGCAGCGUGUUCCUGGAGAUGUAAAUGGAGCAGUAAGCAGCAUGUCGUGGAAUUUUUGUUUUCACAGAGGAGCAGCGUGUUCCUGGAGAUAUAAAUGGAGCAGCGAGCAGCCUCUGGUGAAAUUUUUGUUGUCACAGAGGAGCAGCCUACCCCCGCAGCAGUAUGAGGAGUAAUAGCAUAUGGUGAUAUUGUGGUUUAAAAAGAGGAGCAGUGUAUGGAGCUGUAGCAUUUGUUGAAGUGACUGUCACAUAGGGUCACUGUGUCCUUGGAGAAUUACAUGGAGCAGUGGCAUCUGGUGAAAUUGUCAUUGUCACAAAGGAGCAGUGCGCCCCUGGAGCUGUAUAAGGAGCAAUAGCCUCUGGUGAUAUUGUGGUUGUCACAGAGGAGCAGUGUGCCCCAGAGCAGUAGCUGGAGCACUAAGUAGCAUCUGUUGAUAUUUUGGUUGUCACAGAGGAGCAGUAUGUCCCUGGAGAUAUAAAUGGAGUAGUAAAGAGCAUGUGGUGAAAUUUUUGUUUUCACAGAGGAGCACCAUUGUCCCGGAGAUAUAGAUAUAGAUAUAGAGAUAUAGAUUUUGUAGUAAGCGGCAUGCGGUGAAAUUUUUGUUGUCGCAGUUGAGCAGCGUGCCCCCAGAUCUGUGGAUGGAGAAGUAAUCAGCGUCUGGUGGAAUUUUCAUUGUCACAGAGGAGCAGCGUGUCCUGGAGCAGGAUAUGUAGCUUUAUGUAGCAUCUGGUGAUAUUUUGGUUUUCACAGAGAAGGAUCAUGUUCCCAGAGAUAUGGAUGGAGCAGUAAGCAGCAUCUGGUCAAAUUUUUAUUGUCACAGAGGAGCAGAGUGCCCCCGGAGCAGUAGAUGGAGGAGUAGCAUCUGGUGAAACUGUGGUUGUCACAGAGGAACAGUGUGCCCUUGGAGCAGGAGAUGGAGCAGUAGCAUCUGGUGAAAUUGUGGUUCAUCUGGAAAUAUUGUGGUUGACAAAGAGGAGCAGUGUGCCCCCGCAGUAGCAUAUAGAGCAGUAGCAUCUGAUGAAAUUGUGGCUGUUCCAGAGGGUCAUCCUGUCCUUGGAGCAGUACAUGGAGCAGUGGCAUCUGGUGAAAUUGUGGUUGUCACAGAGGAGCAGCAUGCUGAUGGAGGUAUAAGCAACAUCUGGUGUAAUUGUGGUUGUCACAAAGGAGCUGCAUGCCCCCGGAGCAGUAUAAGGAACAGUAGCAUCUGGUGAUACUGUCAUUGUCACAGAGAAGCAGUAUGUCCCUGGAGAUAUAAUGGAGCAGUAAGCAGUAUCUGAUGAAAUUUUUGUUUUCUCAGAGGAGCACCAUGGUCCCAGAGAUAUAGAUGGAGGAGUAAGCAGCAUCUGGUGAAAUUUUUGUUGUCACAGUGGAGCAGCGUGCCCCCAGAUCAGUGGACGGAGAAUUAAUCUGCAUCUGGUGGAAUUUUGGUUGUCACAGAGGAGCAGCGUGUCCUGGAGCGGUAUAUGUAGAUUUAAAUAGCAUCUGGUGAUAUUUUGGUUUUCACGGAGGAGCAGCAUGUUCCCAGAGAUAUAGAGAGAGUAGUAAGCAGCAUUUGGUGACAUUUUUGUUGUCACAGAGGAGCUGGGUGCCCCGGGAGCAGAAGAUGGAGCCUUAGUAUCUUGUCAAAUUAUGUUUGUCACGGAGGAGCAGAGUUCACCCUGAGCAGGAGAUGGAGCAGUAGCAUCUGGUGAAAUUGUCAUUAUCACAGAGGAGGAGCAUGUCCCCUCAGCAGAAGAUGGAGCCACAGCAUCUAGUGAAAUUAUGCUUGUCAUAGAGGAGAAGCCCUUUCCUGGAGCAGUGUAAGGAGUAAUAGCCUCUGGUGAUACUGUGGUUGUCACAGAGGAGAAGCGUGCCCCCACAGCAGUGUAUGAAGCAGUACCAUCUGUGGAAAUUGUGGUUUUCCCAGAGGCUCACCGUGUCCCUUGAGUAGUACAUGAAGUUGUGGCAACUUCAUCUGGUGAAAUUGUGGUUGUCACAGAGGAGCAGCGUGUCCCUGGAUCAGUAGAUGGAGAAGUAGCAUCUGGUAAAAUUGUGGUUGUCACAGAGGAACAGCAUCUCUCUGGAGCAUUAGAUGGAGCAGUAGCAUCUGUUGAAAUUGUGGUUGUCACAGAGCAACAGCGUGCCUCCAGAGCAGUAGAUGGAAGCAGUAGGAUCUGGUAAAAUUUUGGUUGUUACAGAGGAGCAGUCUGCCUCCAGAACAGUAGGUGGAGCAGUAGCAUCGGGUGCAAUCCUGGUUUUUUCCAGAGAAGAAGCAUCCCAUCGGAGCAGCUGGUGGAGCAGUAGGAGUGGUACCCAUCAUCGUUGUGCAGGAAGAGGGCAUCCAGAUUCAAUGAGAUCUCAAUCAAAAUCUGAGGAUGUCAUUUUUUGGAUGACAAUAAAUUACUUCUGAAUUUUAAAUGAAAAAGUAAAAGACCUAGAAUAAUCCAUAGAACAUUCAAUAAUGAAGUUGGAGGACUGAUAUUACCAGACUUCAAGACUUACAACAAAGCUACAGUAAACAAGACAGCAUGGUAUUGGCAAAAGAAUAGACAAAUAGACCAAUGGAAUAGAAUGGAGAGCCCCAAAAUAGAUCCAUGUAAAAUACAGACAACUGAUAUUUGACAAAGGAGGAAAGGCAAUUUAAUGGAGAAAAGAGUCUUCAAUAUAUGGUGCUAGAACAACCGGAAAUACAAAUAGAAAAAAUGACACAUGCCUUAUAUCUUUUAUAAAAAUUAACUUAAAAUGGAUCUUAAAUUGUAAAUGUAAAAUGUAAAACUAUAGGACAUCUACUGGAUAACUUGAGACUGUAGGUGACUUUGAGUUUGGUGAUGAUACAACACCAAAAGCAUAAUCCAUGGGGAGGGGGUAAACUUAGCAAGCUGGACUUGAUUAC
Sapajus apella (tufted capuchin) is the source of this 4082-nucleotide long non-coding RNA. RefSeq lists it as uncharacterized. Lineage: Eukaryota; Metazoa; Chordata; Mammalia; Primates; Cebidae. The transcript is spliced from 5 exons. The record is from RefSeq and is a predicted model, not a curated record.